CCUACGGGUGGCAGCAGUGAGGAAUAUUGGUCAAUGGGCGCAAGUCUGAACCAGCCAAGUAGCGUGCAGGAUGACUGCCCUACGGGUUGUAAACUGCUUUUGUAAGAGGGUAAAGUGAGGCACGUGUGCCUGGUUGUAAGUAUUUUAUGAAUAAGGAUCGGCUAACUCCGUGCCAGCAGCCGCGGUAAUACGGAGGAUCCGAGCGUUAUCCGGAUUUAUUGGGUUUAAAGGGAGCGUAGGUGGGUUGUUAAGUCAGUUGUGAAAUCUUGGGGCUCAACCGUAAAAUUGCAAUUGAUACUGGCAGCCUUGAGUACAGUUGAGGUAGGCGGAAUGCGUGGUGUAGCGGUGAAAUGCUUAGAUAUCACGAAGAACUCCGAUUGCGAAGGCAGCCUACUAAACUGCCACUGACAUUGAUGCUCGAAAGUGUGGGUAUCAAACAGGAUUAGAUACCCCGGUAGUC
RNAcentral lists this ribosomal RNA (460 nucleotides) under uncultured bacterium. Its description in RNAcentral is "partial 16S ribosomal RNA". It matches the Rfam family "Bacterial small subunit ribosomal RNA", at positions 338 to 795 of the family's 1533-position model. The record is from RNAcentral.